GUGCUUGCUUCAGCAGCACACCUACUAAAAUUGGAACGAUGUAGAGAAGAUUAGCAGGAAUGACACACAAAUUUGUGAAGUGCUCCAUAUUGAA
This 94-nucleotide small nuclear RNA is filed under the name Camelus dromedarius (Arabian camel). The record is from RNAcentral. Lineage: Eukaryota; Metazoa; Chordata; Mammalia; Artiodactyla; Camelidae.